AACCGCUGUAUGCCGAACGACACAUACGAUGGUGUGAGAGGACGAUAAUUGAAAUAAUAAAUUAUCUCCUACUCGAU
RNAcentral lists this non-coding RNA (77 nucleotides) under Dielma fastidiosa. Lineage: Bacteria; Bacillati; Bacillota; Erysipelotrichia; Erysipelotrichales; Erysipelotrichaceae. The record is from RNAcentral.